UACGGAGGAUCCGAGCGUUAUCCGGAUUUAUUGGGUUUAAAGGGUGCGUAGGCGGACUAGUAAGUCAGUGGUGAAAUCCUGCAGCUUAACUGUAGAAUUGCCGUUGAUACUGUUAGUCUUGAGUACAUUUGAGGUAGGCGGAAUGUGGUGUGUAGCGGUGAAAUGCAUAGAUAUACCACAGAACACCGAUUGCGAAGGCAGCUUACUAAACUGUAACUGACGCUGAGGCACGAAAGCGUGGGUAUCAAACAGGAUUAGAUA
RNAcentral lists this ribosomal RNA (261 nucleotides) under uncultured prokaryote. Its description in RNAcentral is "partial 16S ribosomal RNA". It matches the Rfam family "Bacterial small subunit ribosomal RNA", at positions 524 to 784 of the family's 1533-position model. The record is from RNAcentral.